This 253-nucleotide ribosomal RNA is filed under the name uncultured bacterium. RNAcentral's name for it is "partial 16S ribosomal RNA". It matches the Rfam family "Bacterial small subunit ribosomal RNA", at positions 524 to 776 of the family's 1533-position model. The record is from RNAcentral.
UACAGAGGUCCCAAGCGUUGUUCGGAUUCACUGGGCGUAAAGGGUGCGUAGGCGGUCGGAUAAGUCUGAUGUGAAAUCUUCGAGCUCAACUCGGAAACUGCAUCGGAAACUAUUCGGCUAGAGGAUUGGAGGGGAGACUGGAAUUCUCGGUGUAGCAGUGAAAUGCGUAGAUAUCGAGAGGAACACCAGUGGCGAAGGCGAGUCUCUGGACAGUUCCUGACGCUGAGGCACGAAGGUCAGGGGAGCAAACGGG